RNAcentral lists this ribosomal RNA (253 nucleotides) under uncultured bacterium. RNAcentral describes it as "partial 16S ribosomal RNA". It matches the Rfam family "Bacterial small subunit ribosomal RNA", at positions 524 to 776 of the family's 1533-position model. The record is from RNAcentral.
UACGUAGGGGGCAAGCGUUGUCCGGAAUCAUUGGGCGUAAAGCGCGCGUAGGCGGCUUUGUAAGUUAGAGGUGAAAGCCCGGAGCUCAACUCCGGAACUGCCUUUAAAACUGCAUCGCUUGAAUCCAGGAGAGGUGAGUGGAAUUCCGAGUGUAGAGGUGAAAUUCGUAGAUAUUCGGAAGAACACCAGUGGCGAAGGCGGCUCACUGGACUGGUAUUGACGCUGAGGUGCGAAAGCGUGGGGAGCAAACAGG